Chiloscyllium plagiosum (whitespotted bambooshark) is the source of this 107-nucleotide small nuclear RNA. NCBI's taxonomy places the organism in Eukaryota, Metazoa, Chordata, Chondrichthyes, Orectolobiformes, Hemiscylliidae. The record is from RefSeq and is a predicted model, not a curated record.
GUGCUUGUUUUGACAGCACAUACACUAAAACUGGAAUGAUACAGACAGGAUUAGCAUGACCCACGUGGAAGAAUGAUACACAGAUUUAUGAAGCAUUAUAAUAUUAA